RNAcentral lists this ribosomal RNA (493 nucleotides) under uncultured bacterium. RNAcentral describes it as "bacterial SSU rRNA". It matches the Rfam family "Bacterial small subunit ribosomal RNA", at positions 802 to 1298 of the family's 1533-position model. The record is from RNAcentral.
GUAAACGAUGGAUACUAGGUGUGGGGGGUCUGACCCCCUCCGUGCCGGAGUCAACACAAUAAGUAUCCCACCUGGGGAGUACGAUCGCAAGGUUGAAACUCAAAGGAAUUGACGGGGGCCCGCACAAGCGGUGGAUUAUGUGGUUUAAUUCGAAGCAACGCGAAGAACCUUACCAGGGCUUGACAUCCUACUAAUGAAGCAGAGAUGCAUUAAGUGCCCUUCGGGGAAAGUAGAGACAGGUGGUGCAUGGUUGUCGUCAGCUCGUGUCGUGAGAUGUUGGGUUAAGUCCCGCAACGAGCGCAACCCCUAUUGUUAGUUGCUACGCAAGAGCACUCUAGCGAGACUGCCGUUGACAAAACGGAGGAAGGCGGGGAUGACGUCAAAUCAUCAUGCCCCUUAUGUCCUGGGCUACACACGUAAUACAAUGGCGGUAAACAGAGGGAAGCAAGACUGCAAAGUGGAGCAAAUCCCUAAAAGCCGUCUCAGUUCGGAU